Molecule: ribosomal RNA, 494 nt
Filed under: uncultured bacterium
Lineage: Bacteria
Description: partial 16S ribosomal RNA
Rfam family: Bacterial small subunit ribosomal RNA
Source: RNAcentral
GACGAACGCUGGCGGCGUGCUUAACACAUGCAAGUCGAACGGUGAAGCGCCUUCCUUUUUGGUGGGUGUGGAUGAGUGGCGAACGGGUGAGUAACACGUGAGUAACCUGCCCCCUUCUUCUGGAUAACCGCAUGAAAGUGUGGCUAAUACGGGAUAUUCUGGGUCUGUCGCAUGAUGGGUCUGGGAAAGAUAUUGUUUCGGUGGGGGUUGGGCUCGCGGCCUAUCAGCUUGUUGGUGGGGUGAUGGCCUACCAAGGCGGUGACGGGUAGCCGGCCUGAGAGGGUGGACGGUCACACUGGGACUGAGACACGGCCAAGACUCCUACGGGAGGCAGCAGUGGGGAAUAUUGCACAAUGGGCGCAAGCAUGAUGCAGCGACGCCGCGUGAGGGAUGGAGGCCUUCGGGUUGUGAACCUCUUUCGCCAGUGAAGCAGGCCUGCCUCGUUUGUGGGUGGGUUGACGGUAGCUGGAUAAGAAGCGCCGGCUAACUACGUG